GUAACCAUCUUGACAUCAGCUGUUUGUUAGACUACACAGGAUGAGUGAAAGCAUGGCAUGAAGAUUCUUUGUGAUGCCCAUAUGUUGAUGCAGUUAUAAUAUUGCAGAACUUACCAGGUAGAUCAUCUGUAAUUGUAGCACGCAGUGGAGUAGUGGAAGGUGGUGGAGUGCAAGCUAGAGUCGACCUAACUGAGGAGGUAGCACGCAGUGGAGUAGAAGGUGGUGGAGUUGACUUAGGUGAGGAGGUUCCAGAUCAGCCUCCGAGCAGCGUCUCUUCCGGGUCCAUUGUAGUAUCUAUAAGAUGGUACAGCACAAAUAAUAAUAAAACCUUAUUUAUAUAGCACCUUUCAUGCAAAACAAUGCAGCUCAAAGUGCUUUACAGCAAAUACGUGCGUAUCUACGUGCGCAAUAACGUGCACAAAGAAAUUACAUGCACAUAAAAAUAGACAAAGAAACAUAAAAACUCAACUAUAGUGCAAAAACAAAUGUAGUAAGUACAGUUUAUGUAAUGUACACUUUAUUACGUCUACACGUUUCUCAAAGACUAAGGGCUGAGGGCUAGCUAGCAAGUGGCACCCAUGUUAGCUUCGAAAGUUACGGUUAUCAAGUGGGACCCAGGUUAGCCUUACGUGUGAUUGUACAUUGUUUUCAUCGUCGAUUUAAUUCCUCGCAAGUUAUGGGAAGGUACACAUGUUUCAACACAUAUUAGCACUGCUAACACAUCUCACAAACAGCAUCAGCUAGCAUCUAGCACUUGUUUUAGUGUGAUGCAACUGAAAUUAACUUACCCAUGGUAGUUGGCAACUGAGCACCCAAAUCUACGCCGUUGUGCUCUACUAGGGACUCUUGUGUUGUCCAUAGCGUUGUUUGUUUGUUUUCUGCCGGCCAGGCUCCCAGGAGUCUCUUUCGACUUCCGGGUCACGACCUGGGAGGGAGGAGGGCGGCGGGAUCUCAAGCAUGCGCAAAGACGCAAAGUCCAGUUCCUUAUCCGAUUCACUGUUACAUGCCGCAAUAGUCGAACUAUCAACUGGAUCGGAUCGAGUUAUCCAGGGGUGUUAAUCAGAUCGUAGUCGGACCGCACAUAGUCGGACAAAGGUGUUUACAUGAAACGGAUAAUUCAAUUUCAGUCCGACUAAGCCAGUUAUUCGAAUCCAUGUAACCACGCUGUGUGACACACACUCUGACUGCCCCACCCGUCCACCACAUGAAUAAUGCAUCAUCAGAGUCGGCAGUGAGCUAAUGAGUCAAUUGCAUAGAGACUAGAGAGACACCCGUGCGCUGUGAUGGUUAAACCGGGCGGUCCCUUCG
Long non-coding RNA from Gasterosteus aculeatus aculeatus (three-spined stickleback), 1308 nucleotides. The record is from Ensembl. Lineage: Eukaryota; Metazoa; Chordata; Actinopteri; Perciformes; Gasterosteidae.